CCUACGGGAGGCAGCAGUGAGGAAUAUUGGUCAAUGGACGAGAGUCUGAACCAGCCCAGUAGCGUGAAGGAUGACUGCCCUAUGGGUUGUAAACUUCUUUUAUAUGGGAAUAAAACGUUCCACGUGUGGGAUUUUGUAUGUACCAUAUGAAUAAGGAUCGGCUAACUCCGUGCCAGCAGCCGCGGUAAUACGGAGGAUCCGAGCGUUAUCCGGAUUUAUUGGGUUUAAAGGGAGCGUAGGUGGAUUGUUAAGUCAGUUGUGAAAGUUUGCGGCUCAACCGUAAAAUUGCAGUUGAAACUGGCAGUCUUGAGUACAGUAGAGGUGGGCGGAAUUCGUGGUGUAGCGGUGAAAUGCUUAGAUAUCACGAAGAACUCCGAUUGCGAAGGCAGUUCACUGGACUGCAACUGACACUGAGGCUCGAAAGUGUGGGUAUCAAACAGGAUUAGAUACCCGAGUAGUC
RNAcentral lists this ribosomal RNA (460 nucleotides) under uncultured bacterium. Its description in RNAcentral is "partial 16S ribosomal RNA". It matches the Rfam family "Bacterial small subunit ribosomal RNA", at positions 338 to 795 of the family's 1533-position model. The record is from RNAcentral.